RNAcentral lists this ribosomal RNA (253 nucleotides) under uncultured bacterium. Its description in RNAcentral is "partial 16S ribosomal RNA". It matches the Rfam family "Bacterial small subunit ribosomal RNA", at positions 524 to 776 of the family's 1533-position model. The record is from RNAcentral.
UACGUAGGGUGCAAGCGUUGUCCGGAAUUAUUGGGCGUAAAGAGCUCGUAGGCGGUUUGUCGCGUCUGCUGUGAAAACUCGGGGCUUAACCCCGGGCCUGCAGUGGGUACGGGCAGACUAGAGUUCGGUAGGGGAGUCUGGAAUUCCUGGUGUAGCGGUGAAAUGCGCAGAUAUCAGGAGGAACACCGGUGGCGAAGGCGGGUCUCUGGGCCGUAACUGACGCUGAGGAGCGAAAGCAUGGGGAGCGAACAGG